Molecule: ribosomal RNA, 429 nt
Filed under: Chloroflexota bacterium
Lineage: Bacteria; Bacillati; Chloroflexota
Description: Chloroflexi bacterium partial 16S ribosomal RNA
Rfam family: Bacterial small subunit ribosomal RNA
Source: RNAcentral
UGGGGAAUAUUGCACAAUGGGCGCAAGCCUGAUGCAGCCAUGCCGCGUGUAUGAAGAAGGCCUUCGGGUUGUAAAGUACUUUCAGUCGGGAGGAAGGUGGUAAGGUUAAUAACCUUAUCAAUUCACGUUACCGACAGAAGAAGCACCGGCUAACUCCGUGCCAGCAGCCGCGGUAAUACGGAGGGUGCAAGCGUUAAUCGGAAUUACUGGGCGUAAAGCGCACGCAGGCGGUUGAUUGAGUCAGAUGUGAAAUCCCCGGGCUUAACCCGGGAAUUGCAUCUGAUACUGGUCAGCUAGAGUCUUGUAGAGGGGGGUAGAAUUCCAUGUGUAGCGGUGAAAUGCGUAGAGAUGUGGAGGAAUACCGGUGGCGAAGGCGGCCCCCUGGACAAAGACUGACGCUCAGGUGCGAAAGCGUGGGGAGCAAACAGG